UUUGCAUGCUUCUUUCCCUCUCUCUCUUUAGACUCGGUCGUACGUGGUAGAGUUGCCGUUGGAGCUCGGAUCGACGCCGACGUCGCGCCGGGGAGCCGUUCGAGCGUGUGUUCGUCGUAGUGGCGUCGUCGGGAGGCCGGGCGAGCGUGUGGUUCCGCUGUUUUCGACUUCGCGCCGGAUUGGGAGUAGCUUUUGAGGUGGGUUAAUCGUCGAUUUGCUUUCUAAGUAGCUAUAUAGUCGACAUGUGUUCAUCGGGUUGUUUAGUAUAUAGAAAUUGCUCGAUUCAUGGAUUUCGUGUUUAUAUAGUCAAAAUCUGAAUUGGAGGCUCGUCUUUUGAUUAUAUCUAGUUGCACAUGUUGGACUUGGAUAUGACUUAGGAGAAAACGGCGAUUAUAAC
RNAcentral lists this long non-coding RNA (397 nucleotides) under Ananas comosus (pineapple). RNAcentral's name for it is "long non-coding RNA (ACOM_LNC026806)". Lineage: Eukaryota; Viridiplantae; Streptophyta; Magnoliopsida; Poales; Bromeliaceae. The record is from RNAcentral.